RNAcentral lists this ribosomal RNA (232 nucleotides) under uncultured bacterium. Its description in RNAcentral is "partial 16S ribosomal RNA". It matches the Rfam family "Bacterial small subunit ribosomal RNA", at positions 104 to 334 of the family's 1533-position model. The record is from RNAcentral.
CGGGGUGAGUAACGCGUGGGUAACCUGCCUCACACAGGGGGAUAACAGUUAGAAAUGACUGCUAAUACCGCAUAAGCGCACAGGGUCGCAUGACCUGGUGUGAAAAACUCCGGUGGUAUGAGAUGGACCCGCGUCUGAUUAGCUAGUUGGUGAGGUAACGGCCCACCAAGGCGACGAUCAGUAGCCGACCUGAGAGGGUGAUCGGCCACAUUGGGACUGAGACACGGCCCAA